GAUGACAGUCAGUCAUUUGAGUAUUUUUAAUUAUUAUUUUAUAGUAUUUUAGUGAUUUUUAGGAGUAAUACAUGGUCAAAAAGGAGAUUAUUUGAAGAAAUUACAAUAGCAAGAAGAUUGAAGACAAAAGACCAAAGGAAAAAAAAGACUUAGAAAAAUUUCACAAGUUUUGAAGUGUGCAUUCUCUGGAUUUCUCGCGUCACGAACGGAAUGGGCUAGCUACGCGAAUUUGCUUUACAAAGGCACGUGUGACGUCAUCCGCUACAGUAACAUGUUCAGCUUGACCUUUAAUUGAAUGACGUGGCAGCAGGGUAAUGGAUGUGAUCGCAUCUUAUUCUUAUAGUGGCACGAUUUGCCCUAUUUUCAUGGAUAUAUAUGUAGCAGCCUUUAUUAAGAGAAAAGGGAAUUCUAUACAUUGAAGAAAAAGACGCAGACUUUGGAGAAAAGGAUUCGCGGCCGUAACCUAGAGACAAAAGAAUUCUUCAUUGAGUCUUUAUUCAAAAGGUGGAAAUCAUGUCUAUUAUUCAUAAUUUCAUUGUUAUGUUUAGCAUGA
This 553-nucleotide long non-coding RNA is filed under the name Trifolium pratense (red clover). RNAcentral's name for it is "long non-coding RNA (TPRA_LNC011611)". The record is from RNAcentral. Lineage: Eukaryota; Viridiplantae; Streptophyta; Magnoliopsida; Fabales; Fabaceae.